Molecule: ribosomal RNA, 434 nt
Filed under: uncultured bacterium
Lineage: Bacteria
Description: partial 16S ribosomal RNA
Rfam family: Bacterial small subunit ribosomal RNA
Source: RNAcentral
AGCGAACGCUGGCGGCAGGCUUAACACAUGCAAGUCGAACGAACCUUUCGGGGUUAGUGGCGGACGGGUGAGUAACACGUGGGAACGUGCCUUUAGGUUCGGAAUAACUCAGGGAAACUUGUGCUAAUACCGAAUGUGCCCUUCGGGGGAAAGAUUUAUCGCUUUUAGAGCGGCCUGCGUCUGUUUCGCUAGUUGGUUGAGGUAUUGGCUCACCAAGGCGACGAUCAGUAGCUGGUCUGAGAGGAUGAUAAGCCACAUUGGGACUGAGACACGGACCAAUAUCCUACGGAAGAGAGCAGUGGGGUAUCUCACGCAAUGAGCGAAAACCUGACACAGCCGUGCGGCGUAGAUGAGAAAUGUGUUAGGAUUGUAACAUUCUUUCACCGGAGACGAUAGUGACGGUACCGGGUGAAGAAGCCCCGGCUAACUACGUG